Molecule: long non-coding RNA, 1405 nt
Filed under: Cricetulus griseus (Chinese hamster)
Lineage: Eukaryota; Metazoa; Chordata; Mammalia; Rodentia; Cricetidae
Description: lncRNA (ENSCGRG00015035780.1)
Source: RNAcentral
CGCUUUCUCGAGUGGGGUCGCCCUGGUUCUUCAAUGGGCGGCGUGUCGGCGGCCAUUGCGAGAAGACGCCUUUCCCACCCGUUGAGCUAGGAACGCUGUUCCAGCCCCAGCUGCCCUUCGUUACAGGGACACGUGGCCUCCAUCAGAAAUGGAGGGAGGUCGGGCCGGUAUGUCUGCAGAGAGCGAGAUUCCAAUGGGCCGCAGGCUCCACUGUUCCUGCGGAGUCAUCGCCCUGAUCCCGGGAGCCUGAGACCUCUCUACCUAACAAAACACGAUCUAGAUCACAACCAAGCAACAUAAAGUCAUCUUAACCUGUUCCCGUGCUGUUUCCUGAUUUUGGUCAUUAAAAUCAGACACAUCCCUAGCGACAGAAUUGAGAGGCCAUGUGCAGAUUUAAAAUACCCAUUUCUGUAACUCACUCAUUUUUCAUUUUCAAUAUGCUGAAAACCCCUGUAAGACUGAAGUGACUUUGAACAUCCUAAUCAUCUCUGGUUGUGUUUCGUGACCCAAAGCUUUGAAUACUGGGGAAAGAAUCAGCAUGAUUUAUCGUAGAAAGAAGUGAGACUUGGACUGGACUUCAUACAGAUAUGCAGAAUUUCUGAAGGCAGAAUUGGAAGAAGGAUUCUUGAGAUGAAGAAAAGGACUCACAUUGUGGAAGAAGAGAACUGAAUUGUGCUCCCAUCUCCACACACGUUGACAUACACGCAAUAGUAAAUGUGAAAAUUGAAUGAAAAUGAGGACAUGACGGCUCCAAGAAGAAGGUACCAUAUCUCAUAACGGAUGGUUGUGAACCACCAUGUGGUUGCUGGGAAUUGAACUCAGGACCUCUGGAAGAGCAGUCGUUGCUCUUAACCUCUGAGCCAUCUCUCCAGCCCCUGUAUAGAUUAUUUUUAACUGUAAGCCUUUUGUUACAAGUUUUAAGUUAAAUUUUUGUUAACAGAUUUGACAGAUGUUUUAACCAUACCCAAUAAACUUACAAACCCUGAGAGUUUACUUAAUAGCUUUAAAAGAUUUUUUGAGAGCAGGGAGCCAAAAAAAAUUAUAGACAUAAAAGAUUUUUAAGAGUGAAAACUAGAAAAACCUUAGAAAUAAGAGGCUUGGAAGUGUAGAGCAGAGAAAGCUUAGAUAUAAGAGAUUUGGGGAAUCAUUUGUGCAGUGGCAAAAGUUGUUACCAUAUGAGAAAAUUUGAAAAUCUAGUGUUCCAUCUUUGGCCUUUGAGCUGUUUGUAGUAAGACAACGAAGCUAUAAUGGAAUCUCUGAGUCCUAGGAUUCAGAGAGAAAAGGUCGUCAUAUAAGGUCCAGAAGGGUGUAUGGAAGCAGUGGGACUUCCAGGAGGGAGGCGAUAGACAGAAGAGAAGAAGGACAGGGUUUGAUUCUUAUCUGAAUUCUUUCUGAAUGACUCCAG